CCGCACUUGUUAUUGAAGUAUACGUUUAAACUAUUGUUAAGGAACUCGGCAAAAUGACCCCGUAACUUAGGGAGAAGGGGUGCCUGUCUAUGACAGGCCGCAGAGAAUAGGCCCAAGCGACUGUUUACCAAAAACACAGGUUUCUGCUAAGUCGCAAGACGAUGUAUAGGAGCUGACGCCUGCCCGGUGCUGGAAGGUUAAGGGGAUCUGUUAGAGCAAUCGAAGCAGUGAACUUAAGCCCCAGUAAACGGCGGCCGUAACGAUAACGGUCCUAAGGUAGCGAAAUUCCUUGUCGGGUAAGUUCCGACCCGCACGAAAGGCGUAACGAUUUGGGCACUGUCUCAACAAUAGACUCGGUGAAAUUGUAAUCCCGGUGAAGAUGCCGGGUACCUGCAACAGGACGGAAAGACCCCAUGGAGCUUUACUGUAGCUUGACGUUGGGUCUUGGUACUACAUGUACAGGAUAGGUGGGAGACUAUGAAGCAUGGACGCCAGUCUGUGUGGAGUCAUCCUUGGGAUACCACCCUUGUAGUACUGGGAUCCUAACCAUAGGCCUUGAAUCAGGUCUUGGAACACCGUCAGGUGGGCAGUUUGACUGGGGCGGUCGCCUCCUAAAAAGUAACGGAGGCGCUCAAAGGUUUCCUCAGCACGGUCGGAAAUCGUGCGAAGAGUGUAAAGGCAAAAGGAAGCAUGAUUGCAAGACAUACAGGUCGAGCAAGGACGAAAGUCGGACUUAGUGAUCCGGUGGUACCGCAUGGAAGGGCCAUCGCUCAACGGAUAAAAGCUACCCUGGGGAUAACAGGCUUAUCUCCCCCAAGAGUCCACAUCGACGGGGAGGUUUGGCACCUCGAUGUCGGCUCAUCACAUCCUGGGGCUGUAGUAGGUCCCAAGGGUUGGGCUGUUCGCCCAUUAAAGUGGUACGCCAGCUGGGUUCAGAACGUCGUGAGACAGUUCGGUCCCUAUCCGUCGCAGGCGUAGGAAAUUUGAGAAGACCUGUCCUUAGUACGAGAGGACCGGGAUGGACGUACCUCUGGUGUACCAGUUGUUCUGCCAAGGGCAUGGCUGGGUAGCUAUGUACGGAAUGGAUAAGCGCUGAGAGCAUCUAAGCGCGAAGCCAACUUCAAGAUAAGAUUUCCCACCGUAAGGGUAAGACCCCAGGAAGACUACCUGGUUGAUAGGUCGAAGGUGUAAGUGCAGUAAUGUAUUUAGCUUAUCGAUACUAAUAGGUCGAGGACUUGACCU
RNAcentral lists this ribosomal RNA (1242 nucleotides) under metagenome. RNAcentral's name for it is "bacterial LSU rRNA". It matches the Rfam family "Bacterial large subunit ribosomal RNA", at positions 1667 to 2925 of the family's 2925-position model. The record is from RNAcentral.